CAAUAGCGUAUAUUUAAGUUGUUGCAGUUAAAAAGCUCGUAGUUGGAUUUCGGAUGGGGUUUGCCGGUCCGUCGUUACGAUGUGCACUGGCCAGUCCUAUCUUGUUGUCGGGGACUAGCUCCUUGGAUUCACUUCCUGGGACUAGGAGCUGACGAGGUUACUUUGAGUAAAUUAGAGUGUUCAAAGCAAGCCUACGCUCUGAAUACAUUAGCAUGGAAUAACACGAUAAGACUCUGGCUUAUCUUGUUGGUCUGUGAGACCAGAGUAAUGAUUAAGAGGGACAGUCGGGGACAUUCGUAUUUCAUUGUCAUAGGUGAAAUUCUUGGAUUUAUGAAAGACGAACUUCUGCGAAAGCAUUUGUCAAGGAUGUUUUCAUUA
RNAcentral lists this ribosomal RNA (378 nucleotides) under uncultured eukaryote. Its description in RNAcentral is "partial 18S ribosomal RNA". It matches the Rfam family "Eukaryotic small subunit ribosomal RNA", at positions 592 to 975 of the family's 1831-position model. The record is from RNAcentral.